UACGUAGGUCCCGAGCGUUGUCCGGAUCUAUUGGGCGUAAAGCGAGCGCAGGUGGUUUAUUAAGUCUGGUGUAAAAGGCCGUGGCUCAACCAUUGUAUGCAUUGGAAACUGGUAGACUUGAGUGCAGGAGAGGAGAGUGGAAUUCCAUGUGUAGCGGUGAAAUGCGUAGAUAUAUGGAGGAACACCGGUGGCGAAAGCGGCUCUCUGGCCUGUAACUGACACUGAGGCUCGAAAGCGUGGGGAGCAAACAGG
This 252-nucleotide ribosomal RNA is filed under the name uncultured bacterium. RNAcentral describes it as "partial 16S ribosomal RNA". It matches the Rfam family "Bacterial small subunit ribosomal RNA", at positions 524 to 776 of the family's 1533-position model. The record is from RNAcentral.